Molecule: long non-coding RNA, 774 nt
Filed under: Rattus norvegicus (Norway rat)
Lineage: Eukaryota; Metazoa; Chordata; Mammalia; Rodentia; Muridae
Description: long non-coding RNA NONRATT001940
Source: RNAcentral
AGAAAUACCUAUAUUACAUUUUAUAUAAAUACCAUGAUUUUAAAUUAAUCAUUACAUGUUUUUUACUGAACUAGAAAUGGAAGUAUUAAUUUAUACCAGAUAAUAGUUCUGUCAGAUAUGUUUAUUACACAAAUAUUUUGAUUUAUUUAGAGAUCAGGUGUGUCUUAUAUUCUAAACACUAGCUUUAAAACAAUGGCGAGUGCAGAAGCCAUGGCACUGGGAGCUAGGAAGACCUUCUGUCCACAUCCUAGCCUGUUCUCACACUGUGGCUUCAUCUGCAAACAGUCCUUCUGAGGAACAACUUUUCUCUUGUGGAAAAGCCAAGCUUCUCCUGUAGCCCUAAGCAACCAUUAAUUUAAGUAAAGAGUGUAUAAUGCUACCCUUGAAGGAAGAGCUUCAAGCACACAAAGAUUACAUCAAGUGAGUACAUACUUUUGAAAAUUUGGAAGUAAGAUUUGUUUCUUCCACUCUUGAUGUUACUAAACAUAGUUUAAUGACCCCAGAAUCUUGAUUUAGGAAUAAAAUUAUUCACUUCUAUCUUGAAAAUCAGUUGCUAUGAUAAAUAUCAGUCAAAUAUUUCUCAAAAUUUUAAAAAUAUAUUUUAUUUUUCAGCAAAGAUGUCAAGGAAAUUAAGCUUGCCAACUGAUCUAAAGCCUGAUUUAGAUGUGAAAGACAAUUCCUUCAGCAGAUCUCGGAGUUCAAGUGUGACCAGCAUUGACAAAGAGUCCCGGGAAGCCAUUUCUGCUCUUCAUUUCUGUGAGACUUUCACAAGGA